AGCAGCCGCGGUAAUUCCAGCUCCAAUAGCGUAUAUUAAAGUUGCUGCAGUUAAAAAGCUCGUAGUUGAAUUUCGGGAUCAUCAUGUCGGUCGUGCCUCGGUACGUACUGGCAUUGUUGGUUUCUACCUUCUGACGAACCAUGAUGUCAUUUAUUUGGUGUCGUGGGAAAUCAGGACUGUUACUUUGAAAAAAUUAGAGUGUUUAAAGCAGGCUCACGCUUGAAUACAUUAGCAUGGAAUAAUGAAAUAGGACGUUUGAUUCUAUUUUGUUGGUUUCUAGGAUCGACGUAAUGAUUAAUAGGGAUAGUUGGGGGCAUUAGUAUUCAAUUGUCAGAGGUGAAAUUCUUGGAUUUAUUGAAGACUAACUACUGCGAAAGCAUUUGCCAAGGAUGUUUUCAUUAAUCAAGAACGAAAGUUAGGGGAUCGAAGACGAUCAGAUACCGUCGUAGUCUUAACCAUAAACUAUGCCGACUAGGGAUCGGAUGAUGUUAAUUUUUUAANGACUCAUUCGGCGCCUUAC
This 520-nucleotide ribosomal RNA is filed under the name uncultured Glomus. RNAcentral's name for it is "SSU rRNA". It matches the Rfam family "Eukaryotic small subunit ribosomal RNA", at positions 569 to 1091 of the family's 1831-position model. Lineage: Eukaryota; Fungi; Glomeromycota; Glomeromycetes; Glomerales; Glomeraceae. The record is from RNAcentral.